GUAAUACGGAGGGUGCAAGCGUUAUCCGGAUUUAUUGGGUUUAAAGGGUCCGCAGGCGGGGUAUUAAGUCAGUGGUGAAAGCCGGCAGCUCAACUGUCGAAUUGCCAUUGAUACUGGUACUCUUGAGUGUAGUUGAAGUAGGCGGAAUAAGUCAUGUAGCGGUGAAAUGCAUAGAUAUGACUUAGAACACCGAUUGCGAAGGCAGCUUACUAAGCUAUAACUGACGCUGAGGGACGAAAGCGUGGGUAGCGAACAGGAUUAGAUA
RNAcentral lists this ribosomal RNA (265 nucleotides) under uncultured eukaryote. Its description in RNAcentral is "partial Bacterial small subunit ribosomal RNA". It matches the Rfam family "Bacterial small subunit ribosomal RNA", at positions 520 to 784 of the family's 1533-position model. The record is from RNAcentral.